UUGUAGAUGAUGGAUGAACUGUUUCAACCUUGUCGAAUUAUUACACUACUCCUGCUGAGAUACUCGUCUCCCUUCAGCUCCCACAGCUGUUUAAGACGUUCUCUCACGGUGAUCAUCUUUGAAGCUUCUCCACCUUGAGCUAAGAACCCUUAUCCCUCGCCUCUCCUUCCCCACAGGUAACGUUUCCUUGGAACUCUAAAGUCCCUUUAUUGUUGUUUAAGAAAUAACCGGAGUGCUCAACUCAUUAUUUCUUCUGUGGCGAGGUUACAACAAUGACGUUACCUGUGGCGCCUAGCCCUUCUAGGCGAUGUUUAAGAGAUCACAACAGAGAUCAAACUUAGGCCCAGGUCUUCAAACGUUGCUGGACUUGUGUGGGCCAGAAUUGGGCCUUUACUUCACAACUUGAAUAGCAAAACAGUUUUUUUUUUUUUUUCAAUAAGUUAAGCAGGUGAAGAGACAAUUGCAAAACGCAUGCUAAAAGUAAAAAUAAAUACAAUGCAUAUCAAAAAAAUACGAGCAACAACAAGUACAUUAAUAUCACAUUACAUAAACAAAAGAAGUCUAACAACUUAGUAAACAGAGGUCAAAGCUUAAGCAAAAAAAAAAAAAACUUAGUAAA
This is a long non-coding RNA of Brassica napus (rape), 619 nucleotides long. RefSeq lists it as uncharacterized. The transcript is spliced from 3 exons. Lineage: Eukaryota; Viridiplantae; Streptophyta; Magnoliopsida; Brassicales; Brassicaceae. The record is from RefSeq and is a predicted model, not a curated record.